This 892-nucleotide ribosomal RNA is filed under the name Guignardia sp. CAH2.14. Its description in RNAcentral is "eukaryotic LSU rRNA". It matches the Rfam family "Eukaryotic large subunit ribosomal RNA", at positions 82 to 991 of the family's 3401-position model. Lineage: Eukaryota; Fungi; Ascomycota; Dothideomycetes; Botryosphaeriales; Phyllostictaceae. The record is from RNAcentral.
AGUACGGCGAGUGAAGCGGCAAUAGCUCAAAUUUGAAAGCUGGCACCUUCGGUGUCCGCGUUGUAAUUUGUAGAGGAUGCUUCGGCGAGGACUCCUGCCUAAGUCCCCUGGAACGGGGCGUCAUAGAGGGUGAGAAUCCCGUAUGUGGCGGGCAGUCCAAGCCAUGUGAAGCUCCUUCGACGAGUCGAGUUGUUUGGGAAUGCAGCUCUAAAUGGGAGGUAAAUUUCUUCUAAAGCUAAAUAUUGGCCAGAGACCGAUAGCGCACAAGUAGAGUGAUCGAAAGAUGAAAAGCACUUUGGAAAGAGAGUUAAAAAGUACGUGAAAUUGUUGAAAGGGAAGCGCUUGCAACCAGACUCGCUCGUAGUUGCUCAGCCGGCCUCUUGGCCGGUGUACUCUUCUACGAUCGGGCCAGCAUCAGUUCGGGCGGCCGGAUAAAGGUGUCGGGAAUGUAGCACCCUUCGGGGUGUGUUAUAGCCCGGCGCGGAAUGCGGCCAGCCUGGACUGAGGAUCUCGCUUCGGCAAGGAUGCUGGCGUAAUGGUUGUAAGCGGCCCGUCUUGAAACACGGACCAAGGAGUCUAACAUCUAUGCGAGUGUUUGGGUGUCAAACCCAUGCGCGUAAUGAAAGUGAACGGAGGUGGGAACCCCUCGCGGGGUGCACCAUCGACCGAUCCUGAUGUCUUCGGAUGGAUUUGAGUAAGAGCAUAGCUGUUGGGACCCGAAAGAUGGUGAACUAUGCCUGAAUAGGGUGAAGCCAGAGGAAACUCUGGUGGAGGCUCGCAGCGGUUCUGACGUGCAAAUCGAUCGUCAAAUUUGGGUAUAGGGGCGAAAGACUAAUCGAACCAUCUAGUAGCUGGUCCCUGCCGAAGUUUCCCUCACGAUAGCAGUAACGAA